This 77-nucleotide transfer RNA is filed under the name Clostridiales bacterium. Its description in RNAcentral is "tRNA-Met". It matches the Rfam family "tRNA". From Rfam's summary of the family: Transfer RNA (tRNA) molecules are approximately 80 nucleotides in length. Their secondary structure includes four short double-helical elements and three loops (D, anti-codon, and T loops). The record is from RNAcentral. Lineage: Bacteria; Bacillati; Bacillota; Clostridia; Eubacteriales.
GGCGGCAUAGCUCAGUUGGCUAGAGCACUCGGUUCAUACCCGAUAGGUCGAUGGUUCGAAUCCGUCUGCCGCUACCA